Capsella rubella is the source of this 775-nucleotide long non-coding RNA. RefSeq lists it as uncharacterized. The record is from RefSeq and is a predicted model, not a curated record. NCBI's taxonomy places the organism in Eukaryota, Viridiplantae, Streptophyta, Magnoliopsida, Brassicales, Brassicaceae. The transcript has 2 exons.
AGCAAGUGUACCCUUCAAAUACUAACCUAAUUUAUUUUGAUUUGGAACCAAAAUCAGCCGUCAAACUCUCGCCAUCGUUUCAGAGAAAUCUCGUUGGUGUCUUCUUCAUCAAAUCUUUGUCGUCAUCGUCAUCAUCAUCGUCGCUGUCGUUUUGAGUAGUGGUCGUCCAUGUCAUCGUCACUAUCGAUUUGAUUUGGAAAUUUCAGAUUUAUUGUCUGGUUCUUGUUCAGAUGGGUGACAGUGAAUCUGACGUCCUUCUUCUACCAAGAGGUAUUUAUGAAGUUUUUUUUAACCAAACACUAGAGCUAUUAUAAUUCAACAUUCAGGUCUUAGUUUGGUUCGAAGAGUUAAAGCUGUAUUGGGAGAAGAAUCGUUCAGGAAACUUGAAGAUUCUUUCUUCGGUCAUAUCAUCAAACUGACAUCAAAAGAAUCGUAUUCUCGGGGAAGUUAUUCCACUAUAUGAUGUUGAGAAGGCUUAAGAAAAAGGAGAAUAAUAUAUAGUUUACAGUCGCCUUGCAACCAGUUAAGGAAACGGGUGGGUGGAAUGCGACUGCGACGGCUCUGGCGAAUGCGACAGUUCCGGCGACUGCGACAGCUCCGACGACAAUUACAACGGUGAUAGCUUGGCAAAGGGGAGCGGGUGAAGACAAAUCAACCAUAAGAACAGCGAUUAUUAGGUUAGCUAUUGUUGUAUUAGUCAAUUAGGGUAAAGUGUAAAUGAAAUUUUAAGAGAGGUAUAACUAAAAAUGGACAGAAAAUAUGAUUUUUUAAAAAA